Bubalus bubalis (water buffalo) is the source of this 931-nucleotide long non-coding RNA. RefSeq lists it as uncharacterized. Lineage: Eukaryota; Metazoa; Chordata; Mammalia; Artiodactyla; Bovidae. The record is from RefSeq and is a predicted model, not a curated record. The transcript has 3 exons.
AAGCACCUGCUUUUCAGCUCAUGGCUUUCCACUGAGGUGCUGGGAUCACGUGGUCUUAGCUUUCUGCCUGCUAAUGUGAGAGUAUAACCCCCUUUUCUUCCUGACUAGGUAGUGCCGUGCUGAACGGCAGUUACUCUGUAAACUGGUAGAGAGGACACAAAUCUACAAAAAGCCACUAGGAGCAGACGGCUGGGAAGGAAAAGCCAUUUUUUUCUGUUUUCCCUGCUGGCCCUGGUGCACAGGCCUCUCCUUUCUCUCAUCAUCGGGGCCUCACCUUUGCUACACUUCCUCAGAUAACCGCUUCUUUUUCUCAAGGUUUGCUUUGAGUUUACAAACAAACCGACUUUCCCCCUUCCUUUGCUCUAUCAUUAACUUUGAAACAGCAUUUUUAGAAAAGACAGUAAAGAAUCCACCUGCAAUGCGGGAGACCUGGGUUCCAUCCCUGGGUUAGGAAGUUCCCCUGGAGGAGGGCAUGGCCACUCACUCCAGUGUUCUUGCCUGGAGAAUCCCCACGGACAGAGGAGCCUGGCGGGCUACAGUCCAUGGAGUCGCCGAGAGUCGGACACAUGGAGCAUCUAAGGAAUCUUCCUGACACGGGGAUUGAACCCGCGUCUCCUACAUUGGCAGGCUGAUUCUUUACCACUGAGCCACCAGGGAAGCCCAGGACAUGCUGCCUGCACACAUGAAAAGCAAUAAUUUGUGGAUCUAGCUUGCCCCUGAAGGGACAAGAAAACUCCCCUGCUCAACCUGGAGGAGGAACUGAUGAUGGAAGCAUGAUGUCUACUCAAAAAAAAGAAGGAAGUUCUUCUCCCCCUCCCCACAUUUUUUAUUGUAAAACUGUAGCCCGGUAAGUUCUUGGGACACAGCAUUUCUCACCCACCCACCUGUCAGCCUCACAAACGUCCUAUUCUAAUAAAUCACUUCUUAUCUA